Populus euphratica (Euphrates poplar) is the source of this 3445-nucleotide long non-coding RNA. RefSeq lists it as uncharacterized. The transcript is spliced from 7 exons. The record is from RefSeq and is a predicted model, not a curated record. Lineage: Eukaryota; Viridiplantae; Streptophyta; Magnoliopsida; Malpighiales; Salicaceae.
UUUUAUUGUAACAAUAUCUCCCGCCUCUGGAUUCUAUCUAUUCUUUGUUCCACACGCGCAUACACUAGUGUUACAAUCGGUUUCGAAGAGCAGAGAAGGAGAAGCAAGUUUCUAUUGCACAAGUUAUACUAAUUCGGAAUGCCCUGCUCAUGUCUUGAUCUUGUUUCUAAUGGCACCGAAUCUAUCAUCCAUGCAAUCAUUUGGUGUUGUUCUGUGACCAGAAGAAGGAGAAGAAGCCUCUUUUCGAUUACAAGUCUCUAUUUGUCUAUCCCCUGAUUAAAGAUUCCAUUACAGUGUUGUAGUGGAAAAUGUUGGCGACUGUAAUUUUCUCUAAAGCUGAUAGAGGAUAUAGAAAUGCUUUGGGCAGAAACGUGAGGCACUUACUCUGUUCUGAUUUUAUUAUGCUCAAGGAUGGGAAUUGAAAUAUUUCAAAUAUUCUGGAUUUUCCUUUCGAGUUGCCAGUUUAAUAAUUCCGUCUUCGGGAUAUCAAAAUUCUGUUCUCGAUCUAAGCAUACAUCGAAGGAAAGGUUGUUUGAAGAAGUAGACCAUCAUGGUAGGCAAUUUACAUCAAAUCAGAAAAAGUUGCUUAAUAUGGUAAUGAGUGUGUUGACAGAUGAGUAUUCUUUUGCGUUAGCUCUCUUUAUCGACAUUUUUUUUAGAAUUUCUUUACUACAAGAGACCUUUUCUUCUAGACGAUGUUUAAUGUAGCAAAUAAAAUUACAGUAAUUAGUAGCUAUAGAAACUUGAUGGUGACCAAAUACUCUGGCCAUGUGCGACAAAAACUUUUGUAAGUGUCAGCAAGAAAUUGUAGCAGAAGGGAUGAAAAAGGUGACAGGGAGAAUAAAAACUGACUUGGUUUGAUUAUUAUGAUAGCAAGAUUUGUGUUUAUGUUGUGGAGAAUAUGACUUUAAACUUGAUGUAGAUGAAAGAAAUAAAAUUUUGGUUGAAGAACUCAACUUGCUGGGGAUUGAGGCGUGCUUGAGUUGAGGUGAAGAAAAUUUUCUUCAGUUUCAUUUUUCAUAUAAAACAGUUUGUUUGUUUUUUUUGCAGUAAAAUAGGAAAGACAUGUGCCAUCUUCCUAUUUGUUUGAAUUAAAAAUGUUUAUAUAAAUCAAGGGUUCUCAUGAAAGGAUUUCUAUGGAAUUUAGGGUGUGGCUGUUUAAUCUCAGUGCAAAACAGUAUUUCCUUGAUCGUAGAAAGCAGCUAACAGUAUUUGGAAAAAAAAUAGGAAACUUCACUUAAGACUGUCUUCCUUGGAAGUUUUCUUUUUUCUUUUCUUUCUUUUCUUCUUCUUCUUCUUCCUUUUUUUUUAAAAAAAAGAAUCAGUGCUGUUGUUUGGCUAUUUUUUACUUGCAAAGUUUUGUAGUUAAGCUAUUCAGGCUUGAUGAGAAUUCAUACUUCUAUUACCUUUUCCUUUUCUUUGAAUUUUUUCCCCUCCAUGGCAUGGGCAGGUUGCAGGUAUUUUCUGUUGGGUAAAAUGUGAUCUAUUUAGAAUAUUUUUUUGUCAUUUUCUUAAUGAUAAUAUUGUAGGCCUUUUUAAGGCAAGGGUUAUUGCUGGUUUAAUUAUGAUAGAGAUCAAUGCAAAUAGCUGAGAAAUUGAUCAUGAAGAUUUUCAGAGGAAAAGUGCCUGGCUGUUUGUAAUCAAGAGGAAUCAGCUCUCAUGGGUUCUGGUGGUUUUCAUGAUUUAAUCGAGAAUGAAACAGCUUGAAAGCAAUUUAGUGUGAAUUCCAAAGAUGCUACAAAUUAUUUUGAUGUCUUCUUGGCAUGCAAAAGAUUUCCCUCCAUUGUUUUGGAUAGUUUUUUUUUUUCCAGUGGAACUGCAUGAUGAGCCUGACAUGAAUGGCCUUUUAGCAGCUACAAGUCUGGAAGGAUGUCUUCCAAAUGCUAUGGGUGUGAACUGUGUUGAUCCGGAUAUUCUUCAUGAGCAGUGGGCUUCUCCACACACCCUUUCAAAUGUGAACUCUUCCAUGCCAAAAGAAUUAAGAAGUGAAAGUUCAUACAUAAUAAGUGAAUUUAGGGAACAAAAUAUAUAUGCAUCAAAAGAAUUGAAUUUUUCCCAGUUUGCCUUUAUAUUCUCCAGACGUGACUUUAGAAACUGAAGAAAAACUAGGUCAUAAAAUUGGCACAGAAGAAUCUGCUACCAAAGUGGAGCUUGAAUUGCAAGAAAAUAAACCUAUCAGUUGCCUGCCUACCUUGGUUAAAUACUAGGCAACACUGUCAGCUGGAAAACUGUGGUUUUCACAUGAUUGGUCUGUUGUGUGAAAACAUAAAGUUCUUUUAUGUUCUUAUAAUCAUAAUAGGACAUGGGUUCACAUUCUUGUCAUGUUUGUGCAGUCACGGUAGUUUCCGCAACCUUUUCCUCAAACUUAUGCUGAUUUGUGGAAUGCACAUUUUGGAAUAGAAGAUGGACAGUAUUUGAUUUCUAUUGGGAAAGCAACAUCUUCCGGGGCAGUCAGCCAGUUAUCCGUGGGCAUUUACUAAAGUGAUUCUGGGUUAUGAGAUCGUAAACAAUGAAUCUAAGCAUGCGGUUGAUGACAUUAAUACUGGAGGAAAGAAAACAAUUUAUUUGCACCUUUAAGAAAUAUUUUUGUGGCACUCGUUUUACUCGUCUGCCUUUUCUUAAAAGACUCAGAGAAGCACAAAUUGGGAGAUGUCUGCGUUAGUGAUUUGCCUUUUCUAAUUUGCUAGGAGGGGUCUCUUUCAGCUUUGCUUGCAACUCUUUCGGCUCAUUUCCGCUACGAUGUUCUGGAUUGCUAGGCUACACGCCAUGGCAAUAACAAGUUUCAAGGACAGUGGAAAUGUCCCAGACAUUUAAAAUGAAACAAGGUUCAAGGUUAACGCAGAGUGCAGAAGACCGACCAGGAAUUUGUCUGUCGACUGAUUUCUUUGAGCUUUGUUUGGUCUCCGGCUUCAAAUAACUACAAUAGGGCUCCAUGGUGAAAUGGGAGUCCCGGGUUCGGAGGAUGGGAAAGUACCUUUUUAUGUACGGAAAUAGUUAAUGAAAAAGUGUCCAGGUAAAUAACGGGAGGAAACAUGGUCCAGUAUUUGCAUAUUCAUAUCAGAAUUCAACUUUCCCCUUCUGAAGGCAAUCGGGCUGGUAAAACUUUUUACAUCGGUAGACUGUAGAGAAAUUAAGUUGCAGAUUUGCCAAUGAGAUGGACAAUACAAAGAAGCCUUUCUACUGCUUAGAAGGCUGCUGGGUUGGUGACGAUACGAUGGGUUCUUUUCCCCCCCUUUUUUCUUAUUCGUGCAGUGGGUACCUUACUUUGUGAGAGUUGAAUCAUAUGAAUUAUGACUACUGUGAGGAAAAGGUUUCUCUGAGUGCAAAAGAAGUGUAUUAGAACCAAUUAUACCGAUCUUACUUUGCUCAGAAACAUUUAUUUGUUUCGUAGUUCAAAUUAUUUCAAUGAUGAGGCAAAUAUCAAUAUGCUGCCAGAUUUAUUAUC